ACAAAGCGAAACUGCGAAUGGCUCAUUAUAUAAGUUAUCGUUUAUUUGAUAGUACCUUACUACAUGGAUAACCGUGGUAAUUCUAGAGCUAAUACAUGCUGAAAAUCCCGACUUCGGAAGGGAUGUAUUUAUUAGAUACAAAACCAAUGCCCUUCGGGGCUCUCUUGGUGAUUCAUGAUAACUUCUCGAAUCGCACGGCCCCGCGCCGGCGAUGGUUCAUUCAAAUUUCUUCCCUAUCAACUUUCGAUGCUACGGUAUUGUCCUAGCAUGGUUGCAACGGGUGACGGAGGGUUAGGGCUCGACCCCGGAGAAGGAGCCUGAGAAACGGCUACUACAUCCAAGGAAGGCAGCAGGCGCGCAAAUUACCCAAUCCCGAUACGGGGAGGUAGUGACGAUAAAUACCGAUACAGGGCUCUUUUGGGUCCUGUAAUUGGAAUGAGUACAAUUCAAAUCCCUUAACGAGGAACAAUUGGAGGGCAAGUCUGGUGCCAGCAGCCGCGGUAAUUCCAGCUCCAAUAGCGUAUAUUAAAGUUGUUGUGGUUAAAAAGCUCGUAGUAGAAGCUCGGGCUCCGGCCGACCGGUCCGCCUCACCGCGUGCACUGGUUCGGCCGGGCCUUCACCUUCUGCGGAACCGCAUCUCCUUCACUGGGGGUGUCGGGGAAACAGGACGUUUACUGUGAAAAAAUUAGAGUGCUCCAGGCAGGCCUAUGCUCGAAUAGAUUAGCAUGGAAUAAUGGAAUAGGACGUGUGGUCUUAUUUCGUUGGUUUCUAGGACCGCCGUAAUGAUUAAUAGGGACAGUCGGGGGCAUCAGUAUUCAAUCGUCAGAGGUGAAAUUCUUGGAUCGAUUGAAGACUAACUACUGCGAAAGCAUUUGCCAAGGAUGUUUUCAUUUAUCAGGAACGAAAGUUAGGGGAUCGAAGACGAUCAGAUACCGUCGUAGUCUUAACCAUAAACUAUGCCGACUAGGGAUCGGACGGUGUUAUUUCUUGACCCGUUCGGCACCUUACGAGAAAUCAAAGUGCUUGGGCUCCAGGGGGAGUAUGGUCGCAAGGCUGAAACUUAAAGAAAUUGACGGAAGGGCC
Molecule: ribosomal RNA, 1083 nt
Filed under: Chordomyces antarcticum
Lineage: Eukaryota; Fungi; Ascomycota; Sordariomycetes; Glomerellales; Plectosphaerellaceae
Description: SSU rRNA
Rfam family: Eukaryotic small subunit ribosomal RNA
Source: RNAcentral